This 961-nucleotide ribosomal RNA is filed under the name Murispora aquatica. RNAcentral describes it as "SSU rRNA". It matches the Rfam family "Eukaryotic small subunit ribosomal RNA", at positions 58 to 1013 of the family's 1831-position model. Lineage: Eukaryota; Fungi; Ascomycota; Dothideomycetes; Pleosporales; Amniculicolaceae. The record is from RNAcentral.
UCGUUAGUUAGCAAUUAUACCGUGAAACUGCGAAUGGCUCAUUAAAUCAGUUAUCGUUUAUUUGAUAGUACCUUACUACAUGGAUAACCGUGGUAAUUCUAGAGCUAAUACAUGCUAAAAACCCCAACUUCGGGAGGGGUGUAUUUAUUAGAUAAAAAACCAAUGCCCUCCGGGGCUCUUUGGUGAUUCAUAGUAACUUAACGGAUCGCAUGGCCUUGCGCCGGCGACGGUUCAUUCAAAUUUCUGCCCUAUCAACUUUCGAUGGUAAGGUAUUGGCUUACCAUGGUUUCAACGGGUAACGGGGAAUUAGGGUUCGAUUCCGGAGAGGGAGCCUGAGAAACGGCUACCACAUCCAAGGAAGGCAGCAGGCGCGCAAAUUACCCAAUCCCGACACGGGGAGGUAGUGACAAUAAAUACUGAUACAGGGCUCUUUUGGGUCUUGUAAUCGGAAUGAGUACAAUUUAAACCCCUUAACGAGGAACAAUUGGAGGGCAAGUCUGGUGCCAGCAGCCGCGGUAAUUCCAGCUCCAAUAGCGUAUAUUAAAGUUGUUGCAGUUAAAAAGCUCGUAGUUGAACCUUGGGCCUGGCUGGCCGGUCCGCCUCACCGCGUGUACUGGUCCGGCCGGGCCUUUCCUUCUGGAGAACCCCAUGCCCUUCACUGGGUGGUGCGGGGGAACCAGGACUUUUACUGUGAAAAAAAUUAGAGUGUUCAAAGCAGGCCUUUGCUCGAAUACGUUAGCAUGGAAUAAUAAAAUAGGGACGUGCGGUUCUAAUUUUGGUGGGUUUCUAAGGACCGCCGUAAUGAUUAAUAGGGGAAUAGUCGGGGGGCAUCAGUAUUCAAUUUGUCAGAGGUGAAAUUCUUGGAAUUUAUUGAAGACUAACUACUGCGAAAGCAUUUUGGCCAAGGAUGUUUUCAUUAAUCAGUUGAACGAAAGUUAAGGGGGAUCGAAGACGAUCAAAA